This 40-nucleotide ribosomal RNA is filed under the name Cordyceps farinosa. RNAcentral's name for it is "partial 28S ribosomal RNA". Lineage: Eukaryota; Fungi; Ascomycota; Sordariomycetes; Hypocreales; Cordycipitaceae. The record is from RNAcentral.
ACCUCUGAACGUUGACCUCGGAUCAGGUAGGACUACCCGC